CAGUGAAUUUUGAUGUUUUGUUUUUUUAGUUUUGAAUUUGAUUUUGAAUUUUGGUUUUGAUUACAAUUUGAAAAGUAGGUUAUGAUAAGUAUAUUGAGUUUUUGUAACAAAUUAAAUUAAUAAUGCGCUGGAUAUCAGGAUGAAAAUUGUGUUUACGACCAUUUUAUUCAUAAUCUUUAUAUUUUGACGAUUUUGGUAAAAUGUCGGUAGAGAAAAGGCCUAAUAGUCCAGAGAACUCUGAGGAAGCAGAAGAUGGGGAAGGCUGGAUCGGGCCUAUGCCUUCAGAGGCUUCAGCAAAUGCACCUAAGCCUAAGAAAAAGAAAGUUCUGGAGUUUGAAUCUCUGUAUCUGGAAAACUUGCCGUCAUCUGAAACAUAUGAAAAGAGUUACAUGCACCGGGAUGUUGUCACACAUGUGGUGGUGACCAAAACUGACUUCGUCAUCACUGCCAGUCAGGACGGACACUUGAAGUUUUGGAAAAAGCAGGAGGAAGGCAUAGAGUUUGUGAAGCACUUCCGGUGUCACCUGGCGCCCAUCAGCCAUGUCUCGGCCAACAGCACGGGCACUCUUCUGUGCACCGCCUCCACGGAGAAGACUGUCAAAGUGUUUGACGUUGUCAACUUUGAUAUGAUCAACAUGAUAACAAUAGAGUUUGAACCAUAUUGCACGGAGUGGGUGCACUCUGCCGGCGACCCCAUAUCAGCUUUGGCCAUAUCAGAGAAAGGAGCAAACAAAAUCCACAUAUUCGACGGCACCCAAGUCUCCGGCACUCCCCUGCAUACAUUUUGUUUACAUCAGAAUGAGGUUGCCACCAUAAAGUAUAACCCGGUGUAUGAAGCCGCUGUGUCAGUAGACAAGGCCGGGAUAGUGGAGUAUUGGACCGGACCGAAGUAUGAGUUUGAGUUUCCCAAAAACGUGAAAUUUAAGUCAAAAUUGAGCACAGAUUUGUUCGACUUUGUAAAGAAUAAGACAUAUCCGACCGCUUUGGACUUUUCGCCUGAUGGUAAAAAGAUGGCCACCAUUAGUUUGGAUAGAAAGGUCAGAAUAUUCCACUUCCUGACGGGCAAAUUGCACAAAGUCUUGGAUGAGAGCUUGCAGCGCUUCCAGGAGCUGCAGCAUCAGACCCAGCAGCUCCCCAACAUGGAGUUCGGGAGACGCAUGGCGACGGAGCGCGAGCUGGACAAGUCGGAGGCGGCGCAGCUCGCCAACGUGGUGUUCGACAGCAGCGGGCACUUCGUGGCGUACUGCACCAUGCUGGGCGCCAAGCUCGUCAACCUCGCCACCAACCGCUGCGCCGCGCUGCUCGGCAAGCCCGAGAACCUGCGCCCGCUGCACCUCGCGCUCUUCCAGGUGAUACACUUCGUGGCGUACUGCACCAUGCUGGGCGCCGAGCUCGUCAACCUCGCCACCAACCGCUGCGCCGCGCUGCUCGGCAAGCCCGAGAACCUGCGCCCGCUGCACCUCGCGCUCUUCCAGGGUCGCACAAACCAGUCCAAGCUGGCGACGACGCUAGAGAUGGAGGGGUCGGACAACCCCACGCUGCUCAACAUCAAGACGGACCCCACGCUGUUCUGCACGGCGUACAAGAAGAACCGCUUCUACAUGUUCACGCGGCGCGGGCCCGACGACGUCCGCAGCCCCGACGCCGACCGGGACAUUUUCAAUGAGAAGCCCUCCAAGGAGGACAUCAUCUCUGCUACUGAGGGACAGGGGGUCCAGCGCCUGUACGAGCAAGCGGUGCUGCACACGUCUCUGGGCGACGUGCACAUCCGGCUGUUCGGCAAGGACGCGCCGCGCACGGUGGAGAACUUCUGCGGGCACGCGCGCAACGGGUACUUCAACGGGCACAUCUUCCACCGCGUCAUCAAGGGGUUCAUGGUGCAGACUGGAGACCCCACCGGCACAGGCACGGGCGGCGAGAGCAUCUGGGGCGGAGAGUUCGCGGAUGAGUUCCGGCCGCAGCUGAAGCACGACCGGCCCUACACCGUGAGCAUGGCCAACGCGGGGCCCAACACCAACGGCAGCCAGUUCUUCAUCACGCUGGCGCCCACCGUGAGUACCGCUGACCUCUGACACUGACCAACGGCCGCAGCAGAAGCACGACCGGCCCUACACCGUGAGCAUGGCCAACGCGGGGCCCAACACCAACGGCAGCCAGUUCUUCAUCACGCUGGCGCCCACCCCGUGGCUGGACAACAAGCACACGGUGUUCGGGCGCGUGGUGCGCGGCAUGGAGGUGGUGCAGAACAUCGGCGGCGUCAAGACCAACCCCAAGACGGACAAGCCCUACGACGACAUCCGCGUCAUCUCCGUCACUGUUAAAUGAAUAGCUCUAAUAAUAAAUAUUUUCAUAUA
Molecule: RNA transcript, 2354 nt
Organism: Bicyclus anynana (squinting bush brown)
Lineage: Eukaryota; Metazoa; Arthropoda; Insecta; Lepidoptera; Nymphalidae
Gene name: peptidylprolyl isomerase domain and WD repeat-containing protein 1
Exons: 11
Source: RefSeq, a predicted model, not a curated record